CGGGCGGACGGGGGAGUAACGCGUGGGUAACCUACCCUGUACACACGGAUAACAUACCGAAAGGUAAUGCUAAUACGGGAUAAUAUAUUUGAGAGGCAUCUCUUGAAUAUCAAAGGUGAGCCAGUACAGGAUGGACCCGCGUCUGAUUAGCUAGUUGGUAAGGUAACGGCUUACCAAGGCGACGAUCAGUAGCCGACCUGAGAGGGUGAUCGGCCACAUUGGAACUGAGACACGGUCCAA
RNAcentral lists this ribosomal RNA (240 nucleotides) under uncultured bacterium. RNAcentral describes it as "partial 16S ribosomal RNA". It matches the Rfam family "Bacterial small subunit ribosomal RNA", at positions 95 to 334 of the family's 1533-position model. The record is from RNAcentral.